AUUGAACGCUGGCGGCAUGCCUUACACAUGCAAGCCGAACGGCAGCACGGGAGCAAUCCUGGUGGCGAGUGGCGAACGGGUGAGUAAUAUAUCGGAACGUGCCCAGUCGUGAGGGAUAACGCAGCGAAAGCUGUGCUAAUACCGCAUACGAUCUAUGGAUGAAAGCGGGGGACCGCAAGGCCUCGCGCGAUUGGAGCGGCGGAUAUCAGAUUAGCUAGUUGGUGGGGUAAAGGCCCACCAAGGCGACGAUCUGUAGCUGGUCUGAGAGGACGACCAGCCACACUGGAACUGAGACACGGUCCAGACUCCUACGGGAGGCAGCAGUGGGGAAUUUUGGACAAUGGGCGCAAGCCUGAUCCAGCAAUGCCGCGUGCAGGAUGAAGGCCUUCGGGUUGUAAACUGCUUUUGUACGGAACGAAACGGUGAGCUUUAAUACAGUUUGCUAAUGACGGUACCGUAAGAAUAAGCACCGGCUAACUACGUGCCAGCCGCCGCAGUAA
RNAcentral lists this ribosomal RNA (500 nucleotides) under uncultured bacterium. Its description in RNAcentral is "partial 16S ribosomal RNA". It matches the Rfam family "Bacterial small subunit ribosomal RNA", at positions 30 to 523 of the family's 1533-position model. The record is from RNAcentral.